AGAGUUUGAUCCUGGCUCAGAACGAACGCUAUCGGUAUGCUUAACACAUGCAAGUCGAACGGACUAAUUGGGGCUUGCUCCAAUUAGUUAGUGGCAGACGGGUGAGUAACACGUGGGAAUCUACCCAUCAGUACGGAAUAACUUUUAGAAAUAAAAGCUAAUACCGUAUAUUCUCUACGGAAGAAAGAUUUAUCGCUGAUGGAUGAGCCCGCGUCAGAUUAGGUAGUUGGUGAGGUAACGGCUCACCAAGCCGACGAUCUGUAGCUGGUCUGAGAGGAUGAUCAGCCACACUGGGACUGAGACACGGCCCAGACUCCUACGGGAGGCAGCAGUGGGGAAUAUUGGACAAUGGGCGAAAGCCUGAUCCAGCAAUACCGAGUGAGUGAUGAAGGCCUUAGGGUUGUAAAGCUCUUUUAGCAAGGAAGAUAAUGACGUU
RNAcentral lists this ribosomal RNA (436 nucleotides) under Rickettsia endosymbiont of Ixodes pacificus. RNAcentral's name for it is "bacterial SSU rRNA". It matches the Rfam family "Bacterial small subunit ribosomal RNA", at positions 8 to 458 of the family's 1533-position model. Lineage: Bacteria; Pseudomonadati; Pseudomonadota; Alphaproteobacteria; Rickettsiales; Rickettsiaceae. The record is from RNAcentral.